ACGGGUGCGUAACACGUAUGUAACCUACCCUUGUCAGGGGGAUAGCCUCUCGAAAGAGAGAUUAAGCCCGCAUAACAUGAAGACACAGCAUUGUGAUUUCAUCAAAUAUUUAUAGGACAGGGAUGGGCAUGCGGAACAUUAGCUAGUUGGUAAGGUAAUGGCUUACCAAGGCAACGAUGUUUAGGGGAUCUGAGAGGAUGACCCCCCACACUGGUACUGAGACACGGACCAGACUCCUACGGGAGGCAGCAGUAAGGAAUAUUGGUCAAUGGGCGGAAGCCUGAACCAGCCAUGCCGCGUGCAGGAAGACGGCCCUACGGGUUGUAAACUGCUUUUGCAGGGGAAUAAACCCCCCAACAAGCUUGGGGGUUGAAUGUACUCUGAGAAUAAGGAUCGGCUAACUCCGUGCCAGCAGCCGCGG
This 421-nucleotide ribosomal RNA is filed under the name uncultured bacterium. Its description in RNAcentral is "bacterial SSU rRNA". It matches the Rfam family "Bacterial small subunit ribosomal RNA", at positions 102 to 520 of the family's 1533-position model. The record is from RNAcentral.